Culex pipiens pallens (northern house mosquito) is the source of this 10120-nucleotide long non-coding RNA. RefSeq lists it as uncharacterized. NCBI's taxonomy places the organism in Eukaryota, Metazoa, Arthropoda, Insecta, Diptera, Culicidae. The transcript has 6 exons. The record is from RefSeq and is a predicted model, not a curated record.
AAAAAUUCCACGAGGACAGUUAAGGUGAGGGGGGUUAUAAUUUAUUGAUUUAUUGGGAACGACAAAUUGUUUGUUAACACUUUUGAUUAAGUCAGGAAAGAUACUUUAAGAAAUUAAACAAAAUAAAUUUGACGCCGUGACAGAUGUUAAUGGUCAUAUUCGGGUUCAGCGACCCCAAAUUAGUUCAAUUUGAUCGGCCACAAGCCUGUUACAUGUUGUUUAAAAAUACUUGAAGGUUCUCUCUUCGCCAUAUUGGACGCCAUCUUGGAUAACACGCUCCUGGGCAGAGACGCAUCAAGCUCUAUAGGCUCUAUAAAAACUCCUUACCUGCUCUGUAUGGUAGAACAGAGCUAAGCUCUGUAUGCAGCGAACAGAGCCAGCUCUGUAUGGGGAAAAAUAAUAUUGAUUUGCAUAUAUCUCAAAAAACGAUAAGUUUUAGAAAGAUGACAUGUUCUAGAAAGUUGAUGGUACUAAAAGGUUCUAUAUUAUUCUCUUAGACGUCACUACAAUUUGAUUGAUUUUAGUUGUGCAAAACAAGAAAAAACUAUUUAUUUUCUAAGAUAAUGGGUAUAGAAUAUUUUUGUUUUCGACAAAGUUGCUCAACUACAAAAAAUGAACAACUCUCUCGAAGAAACCAAAGCUCUAUCUUCAAUAGAUACCGAAAUAAAAAAUCAAAACUAUUUUUAAUAUAAAUACUGCUUGCGACAAACACAAAGCGACCGCGUCGUACGCACAGGUAAUAUGAAGCAUGUUUGGUAGAGAUCGUCUGAAGUGAAAACUUCCCACUCAGCACCGCUGUUUGAAAAAUGUCGCACGUCGUACGAGUUGUCGCACGGUUUUGAUUUUACCGUUUCGAUAUCGAUUGGUCGAAAGGACGAAAAACGUGCGACACACACUCGACAUGCUCGACAUUGUUUUUUCUAUCGAUUUACCUUCAAUUCGACGUCGAUUAUCGUCGACGCAAACAGUUUGACAGUUCUCUUCAGUUGAUCUUGUUCGGACUUGAUCAAAUCAGAAAAACAAUAUUGUUGUAAAGGUUCGUGAGGAUUUUGGCUGGUUGAUUGACUUCCUGAUUUCAGCCUUCGCGACGGUGGAAGAGAACGUGAAACAUCGUUAACCCGGCGGAUCAUGCCGGAAGAUGGGACGGGAAGGAACCGGUCUGCGAUCGAAAGCGGAUUGGGAUCUGUAUCAAACAGUCUCCAAACAGGACAAUGAAAGUGUUGGUGGUGUUUGAUUUUUAGAGAAUGUCAAAAUCGCCAUUAUCAAUACUAAGACCUGGAAAAAAAGAACAAACUUGCGGCCGAGUACAACCUCUGAGUGAAAGCGAUGGAGGUGAACGAACUACUCACGGGGCAGCACACGAAUUCUACCGGAUUGGCCAUCAUCAAGCGAAAUUUGGAAAAUUGUGACUGCAGUGAUAGUGAAUAUUUGGAAAACAAAGUGCCAGGCCAGUGAAAACUAAUAGAUAUCAAUAAAAAUCAGCAAAACAACAAAUAAAAUGAAUUUUAUUUCGAAAAUAACCUAAAAAUUCCGAAAUGACAGCACACGACAAUAGCACGACAUCCUAAAUAACAAAACCGUGCGACGUCGGUCGAAUGUCGUACGACAAUGUCGAGCAAUUUCGAUGAUCGAUCGCACGACAAAUACGACAUUUUGGUGCAAAAACGUAUGACAUUCGUGCGAAUGUCGCACGACAUUGUCGUGCGACGUCGUACGAUUGCACGUACGACAAACGACGGACGUCGGACGGACUUUUCAGUCAGGGACGUUCCGUUUGAAUUCCGUUUAGAAUUCCGCCUGAGCGAAAAAAGUUCGAUUCUAAUUCUAAACAGUGUUCGUUUUAGAUUCUAAACCGCAUUCCGUUUCAAACGCAACAACCGGUUCCAUUUGAGUUUUCGCCGCAAAUCGGUUCAAGCGGAAUUCAAACGGAAUGAACGGGUUGCUUUUGACAGCUGCUUCUUCUUCUUCUUUUUUCAUUCUGGUUUUCUUUUUUUGUUUUGGUUGAAUUAGUAUUCAACCAGAAAAAAAUGCCUGAGUGUUUUCUAAGGUUUAAAAUAUUUUAUUUACAAAGAAAAAAAUAAAAACAAAGCCCAAACCCAAUAAACCCCUAAAAUUAUGUUUAAUUUCAUAAAGAGAUUUUAAAAUAAAGCACACCGUGACCAAAAUGAUACAGAUCUUUUCUACCAUCUCGGGAGCAUUCCGAAACCACCACGCGGAAUCUUUUUUUAGAAUCGGGUCAUGAACAUCGGCUCCAAUAUUCGUUAUCUGCACGAACUCGACUCGACCUCGCUCAUUGGGGCAACCACGAGUUAACCGAUUGACCUUCGACCUUUUUGGCUUGCAAAAUCUGGUCGGUUCACGGAGUUUCUCCAGUCGGUUUGCAUCAGGCAGCUGAUCCUUUUCCGGCUUUGGAUCAGCUAAGUUUUGGUCCUCCAGCUGCUAGACUUCUGUGAAUUGGCGCUUUCGUUCUGCAGCAGGUUCCCCAGCAACGGUCUGGUCAUCGCGACGUUCCCAUCAACCGACUGCAGUGGUAAUCAACGUGGUGCUGGCGAUCCAACGCUUCUUCCUGCUGGGCAGCGGCCGCCACCAGCAUCCGGACACUCGCCGAUUCCAAAUCAACUGGAGUUAGUUUCCUGAAGGUUCCUUCGCCGGUUGCCAACGGCCUUGGCGUCGUACUGGGGCGUACUUGAGGCAGCUCGUCAACGAAGUCUGAAUUGGAACAUCGAACAAUAAGAUCCGGACAAGUUACUUACCUCCUAAAAAGCAGCAAAAGUUCAACAACAGCGGCUGCUUUUGCUGCCCCCAGUGGGGGGCUUGCGUUGAAGAAUCUGCUACGGCUUGGGAAGAGAAUUUUGGGUGAAUGACCAAUAAAAAGGGAACCUGAAACAAAAGAACAAUUAAACGAUUUUCGUGAACGAAUAAGUACAUUGAAUUCAAUACGGUAACUAAAUCUUCUUGAAAACAUUAAAAAUACAAAUCUUACCAUUUUGCGCAAGAAACGGACGAACUUGAUGCGACAAGUCCAAAAUUAACCGUCCUUCACCGUCGUGACGUAGUUUUUGACACUUUGCACUCACACGACCAUCGCAAAGCCGUUUCGGCGAAUCGCGGCGAAAUGUCACCGAGGUUCCACCGUACACCAGUAGGUGUCGCCCUUGUUCAAAAAUGGUUAAACGGAAUCGAAACGGAGUCCAACCGGAGAUUCCGUUUAGAAAAUUUCGAAGCAAUUUUCGAAGCGGAAUUCGAAGCGGAAUGAACCCGUCAAGCGGAGAACUGUUUGAUUGGGUAGUAUAGCAGAGUGUUCAUAGAGAGUUUUUAUGUUAAAUGCUCUCGUCUGGAUGGUCGAAAGAAAUUUCAGAUAUAAUUAUACAAAUUUAUAAAAUUAUAUUCUUUUUAUUGUACUGUUAAGAAAUUAGGAUUAGAAACAAUAAAAUUAUUUUACAGCUAUUUUUGUGUUUGUCCCGCCCGUGUGGAUCAAUCGUACCGCGCACUGGACUCACAAUCCAGAGGUCACCGGUUCGAAUCCCGCGGCGGGCGCUCUAAUAUUCUUUGUGCACUCAACCGGCGGUCGCAUGAUUUUGAUGCAUGGCAGCAUGAAAGUAUAUCAGAAUCUGCAUGAAAACUGUCCUCAUGCAUUUUUUGCGAUAUAGGGGUAUGACAUUUUUGCCCGUUACCGACAAUUAUCGACAUUACCGACGGCAGAUUGAUUGUAUUGCAGAAAAAAAAACCUUAACAGAACGAGGAUUGAACCAUCAACUUCUAGGUUGCUGAUCCGACACGCUACCACCGCGCCAUGGACGCUGGAUGAAUGGUGAGGGACAGAGCGCGAACAUAAUGUUCUCUCUAGAUUGUUGCUCGGGGACGCGCCAGCAUUCUAUGUGUUGGUGAGAACUGCAGAUCGCUGACGUGUUUACACGCGGGCAAAAAUGAUCUAUGGGCUUGCUGCAAAAAAUGUAAUAAAAUAUAACAUUUUCUGCAGCAAAUUCACUGUUGCAGAUUUUGAGAUAUAUUUUUCGUUUGGGUGUGUAAAUAUGAGUAUUCGGCGUCGUCGCUCCGUGCCAUACUUUCAUACACUUAGGAGCCCAGGGCGGCGAAGUCCUUGUAGAUAAAAAGGAAGACACUAGUGGUUGGUACUAGCAAUGGUGGCUGACAGCCAGGGAUGGUAUUUUCUCGUUUCCUCGCCGAUGACGAGGGCUUUUAGAUAACGUCCCUCGCUCAAAUCAUAAAAUUUUCGGCGUUCUCCCAAAACUGCAUCAAGAGAGCGAAGCGAAAACGACGCCGAUGAAAUAGCGAGCAACGAACAAACCGAUUCGUAAGACGGAAAAAAACUCUCACACAGCCAGUCCCCUCGCUCAAAAAGCAAGAGAAAGAGCAAUCGUGAAAUUCUCUCUCCCGUAAGCCCUGUAGAAAUGAGUUUAUUUGUGUGCGUAAGCUCCAGUGUAUGUAUACAGCAAUUUCGUGUGCGUGUCUCUCCGGUUGGAACGAUAGUUCCAUCGGAGCCAGCGAUAGGGUAUAUCUCGUCGAUGUGAUGGGCUUUCGAUAUUCGCGAUAGCAUGCCGACCAUCAUUCGGCUGCGAAAGAGAAGAGAAAUUUUAAGAGACGAGGAUCGCGCCGAAAUAUGCAUCAAUGAUAGUGCGAUGGUGAUGGUUUACCUACCCUGCCGACAGCUAUAAAGUCAACUUCGUUUUUUCGUUUUUCGUUUAUGUUUGUCUUGAUAAAACAAAUGUUCAACAAAAUUACAAGUUUCGUGCAACAAAAUAAGAAAAUAACAAUUUCAAAUACGCUAGUUCAAAAAAACUAAAGCUUCUAACGAUUAUUUUAAUUUUAUAAAAAAAAAUAGUUAAAAUCUUUUUAAACUUUUACAAAUUUUCAUUAGGAAACUUUGCCAUUUUAUUGAAUUCAACAGAAAAAUAACUAUAUUUUCCUUACUUUUCAAGCAAGAUUACAAUUAGAAAGUUUCAAGCUCAAGCUCAAUGGCAAAGUUUCCUGAAGAAAAUCUUUAUAAGGUUAAAAAGAUGUUAACUGAUUUUCUUUUUAUUAAAUUAAAAUAAUUGUUAGAAGUUUUAGAUUUUUUGAACUUGCCUAUUUGAAAUUGUUAUUAUCUUAUUUUGUUGCACGAAAUUUGUAAUCUUGUUGAACAUAUGUUUUGUCAAGACAAACAUAAAAAUAGCUGUAAAAUAUUGUUAUUGUUUCUAAUCCUAAUUUCUUAACAGUACAAUAAAAGAAAUAUAAUUUUAUAAAUUUGUAUAAUUUUAUCUGAAAUUUCUUUCAACCAUCCAGACGAGUGCAUUUAACAAAAAAACUCUCUAUGAACACUAGGGUGACUUGAAGUUGCAUGGGAAAAUUUCAAAAUGGACUGAUUCAUUCAGAACAGGCAUUUUCCAAUCCCAUUUGGGCCCCCAAACAACCCCCCAAAAUUUGGGAGCGAUUGGAUUUGACCGGCUUUCCGCAAAGCGAUUCAAAGUUGUAUGGAAAUGUGUAUGGGAAACCCCUCUUUUUUACAUUUUGAUUUUUAUAAUUUUAAUUUUUCACUCAAUUUAAAAACUAGCACCGUAGAAGUAUAGUCCUGAAUGUCCUCUAAAACUUUCCCGAAGAAAGUAUGGUCCUAUCUUUCUUCUGGAAAAUGAUAAAGAGUUUUUAAAAGAGGCAUUUCAGAAUAAGUGCUGAAAAUUAUAUUUCUUGCCAACACUGCCAGUACUUCGGUAGAUAUUUCGAAAUCUUCUUUUUAACGUAAUAAGGAAGCAUCCUAGCAAAAUGGUGUCUUAGGAAAAGUUUUUGUAUAUGAAUGUGGCUUUUAUUUAAAAUUAUUGACAUGCAGGGUGACACACCUACAGGGUGUCAACCAAACCCUAAUUUGUACUGGUGACCUUUUAAAGCGUUGGUGUCUUAGGGAAAGUUGUUAAACUACUUAAAAAAAAAGCAAAAAAAAGCAAAGUAAUCCACUUUAACGACCCCCGGGUCUUUUGUGGUCUCUGUUGCAAGUUUCUGCUCAUUUCUAGGCGUCCGAAGGUUAUGUGUGGUGAGUCACCCAAAAUCUCUUUUACGCAAAUGGACCGACGUUUUACUUCCCCAUCCGAUAGAAGGCGUGAUCAGGCAAAUCUCGACUCGAAAAAUGCCACCGGGUCCGUCUGGGAUUGAACCCAGGCCAUACUGGGGUUCAGAGUCUACCACGCUAACCACUAAACCACCGGACCCGGCUAAACUACUUAUUCCAACAAAUUUUGACAUGUUGGAAGACAGGGUGGCACAUCUAGAGGGUGUCAACCCAUUUCUAGCUUCUAAUUAAGACCUUUUUGAUCACUGUAAAAUGGGCGAAAAGGGUACAAAUCAAACAAACUCUUCGAUCAGUUGUAUUUUUUCUGUAAAUUGCUCUAUAAAAUGAAAAGAAGCUGAAUAAUGGAAUUUGUUCUGUAAAAAUGUUCAGGACAUUGGAGCAUACUCUACAAAAUCGGCCGAUUUCGACCAUUUUUAUUAUUUUUUUAUUUGGCUCAAGCUUUGUGGAGGCCUUCCCUAUCACCAAAGAAGCCAUUUUGUGUUAUUGGUUCACCCAUACAAUUUUGGCAGCUGUUCAUACAAAAAUGGUACGUAAAUAUUAAAAAAAAAAAUCUGUAACUUUGUAACGAAUGUCUUUGCACGAUGACCAGCAGCAGUUUUAACACCACGUGCCGCGCCAAUCUCUGGGAAGAGAGACUACUGAGGCUUGUUCUAGAAUCCCGGCAGAGACUCUAAACUACACAGAAAAAAAAAUCGGGUAAAUUUACAUCAUUUAUGAUGUACAAAAAGUGCACGUCAUUAAUGAUGCGAAUUUACAUCAAAUUCAUUUGAAAUUUAAAUGCCAUCCGAUGUAAACUUUUCGAACAAAUUGGUCCCAAAACAUGUAAAUUUCCGAUAAAACUAACGUAAAUUCACAAAAGCCGAAAAAUUUUUUUGCCCGUUGAAUCUAGAAUCUGAUGUAAUUUUCAAAAGCUUUCGUGAAUACCGGUCCAGAAAGAUUAAAUUGUUGCUUCUUUUUUGAUCAAAAUAGGUUUUCUUGUUUGACCUGAAGUACACAGAAAAAAAAAUGUAAAUUUACCCGACACUGAAACCAUGCUUUUAUCGUAAACAUGCUCAAUGUAAUUUUGAAAUUCAAUGUAAAAAGUUGUAUUGCAUUUAAACAGCCCCAAUUUAAAAUGAGAUUAAACGUAACGCACAAAUAUCAUGUAAAUGAAUGUUUUGGAUUCGCAAAAUCUAAAAUUUGAAAAUAUGAAAAGCAUGUAAUUGCACUUUUGAUUUAAAAAUUUGAACAUUUAAAUUAAAUACCCCUUAAAUUUCAAUUUGUUUCGCAAAUGAUAGCUCAAGUAGAAGACGAGAACAAAUUUGCUGAUGUUUGUUUGUGCGGAGUGGAAUAAAGAGGUCAAAGGUAAAUAGCUGGAUUUAACAUUUAAAACAAUAAUCUAAGCAUUUGUUUGUUGACUUUCAUAUCAUUUAGAUGGAAGUGGAAGUGUUGGUGGUGUUAGAAAACUCAUUUGCAAGAAUCGUCUGGUGUUCGUCGAUAUUUCAGAAAAUUUGAAAUAAGUCUUAGCAUCUGAUAUAAACAAACAGUUGUACUCAAGGUAAAAGUUAUAUUCUAGCAAAACAAUGUAAUUGGGCCAAUCUCGAUGUGUAAACAAAGAGUCCAUCCUAAUGUAAACAUCAACUGACAUGAGCAGGAUACUCUUUGUUUACAAUUCGAUCAUUUGCAUUGUAUUGCUUGAUAUGAUAAGUGCAUUAAUUGUCGGGAUAUUGAAUAAUUAUCAAAUUCUGAUGUUUUUUUUAGGAAUUUGGAGACAACUCAACUUUAAAAACAUGCACCAAAUGUAAACAUUCAACUUUCGCAACUCCCCCAGCGUACGUCAUACAGUACAAACUUGCGGCCGGAUCUCUUCCGGCAAAAUCCGGUAUCUGGAUCGGUAUCCGGCGAAAUCGUCUUAGAGUUCUCUUCCCGGUGCUAUAACAUUGGCUUCCGGACGGUCGGUGGUCCUGAGGAAGGCCGACAUCAAGAAUUGUUGAACCAAAACCAAGCCGUAUCGGCCCGGCUGGCCAAGAAACUUUCAAGUAAUGAAUCCAGAUGUUCCCAACGGGUAAAUGUUGGUCCUCUAUGGCGAGGGGUGGAAUUGUUGCCUUGAACAACGUUUUAGAUCAGCGGCGCUUCUUCCGCAGCUCCGUCACUAACCCAACGCAGUUUUACCUGUUUUUAGUUCCGCCGCUGAUUCCCUUAGCGAUAAGAUGUCUUUUUCCGGAUCACGACAGCCCUCACCUUGCGUGGUUCUUCCGUGUACUGUUCCGAAUAAUGGAAAAUCUGUAGAUAGGCCAUGCCGGUUCCUGCCUUGAGCUCGUGACUUUUUCCGGUGGGAAGUCGGGAGAAAGCAAACAUCACGAAAAGCGGCACUUGCGAUAGCAAAAUGCUGUGAUCGGGUGCCAGUGCCCAAUUUUGAUAGUUUUAGAAAGAUUACUUCAAAUCAAGGUAGCCCAACUAUUGUUAACACACAACAAUCAACGAUAAAGAUCAAAGCUGCGCUUCUUCACCACCAUGUUUUAAAGGUUUUAAAAAGUAAACAAGCCAAGCACGGCACGCUGCGGGAGAAGUAGUAGAAAUUGCGAAAAUGAUGACAAAAAACUUACACGUUUUCGAAGAGUUACUUAGUAUACAGCACUCGAACUCGAUCUUAAGUCAGUAUUUUUCUAGAAACGUGUUCUCUCUGGUGGUUGUCUUGGAUACUUAGUUCUCACAUUAACCGCAAGAGGGAAGAGGAUUUUAGCAAAUUACACGUUUCGGAUGUUUAACUUUUUAGAGACUGAUUGUUACACUUUUAUAUAGGGUUUUAAUGUCAUCUUCGGUAGCUUCUUUGCAACCUUCGUGAAACGUGUAUGUUGUUGUUUUGGUCGAGUGUUUUGGUCUGUUUUAGAUUUUGAAUUAUUUUUUUCUUUCAAUUCUUACGUUUUUUUUAGGAAUUGUAGCAUAGAAUCUGAUCUGAAUCUGAUAAUGAUCAAAUUCUAACGUGCCAUUUGUGACAACAGGACCACCAUUAAAAAAACGGAAUACAAAUUAAAUCGAAGAGGUCGACCCGAUAGUUUCACCGCUGUUCGAAGAUGACGGCGUAUUCUUUAUUUUGAGAAAGCCAGAUCUUUCAUUGAGCUGUUUAAGAAAGCAAAUGUGACGGGAAAAUUCUCCAAAUGUCGACUUUUUCAUCACUGAUUCGUCACUUUAGGCCAAUUGUACCAAUCGUGGCCUUCAACAUCAUGCCGGAAGUCUUCUCGUGUAAAAUGUUCAACUAUUCUAUGAGCGACACACUCUCGGCAAUCCUUAGCAAGACAUAUGACGAGCAGUACGGUGGCAAUGCCCGACAUCGAAUCCGUAACGCUGCGGAGCUCGACACACUGCGGGGAUUGCUAUCUCGAUCAGAUCGUCGAACAUUGUCAACCUGUUGGACCGACCUCUUUACCAGCUUCUACAACACGAAGGCGAUGGCGACGUAGUGUCGACGUUUCACUGUUGAUUUCCAGGAUCGGCCCGCUGGUCAAUUUUACCUUGGUUGUGAUCGGCUCAGAACACGGUACGUUCGAAUGACGUCUAAGAGGCUCAAGGUGAUUGCCGACUCGAAAUCCCCUAGGACGUUCAAAGCAAGUGUUACACCAGCCAGCAUAAAUUCGACCGACCGGUUGAACUAUGGUUAAACGAUGACGUUACUAAUAAAACCGUGAGUAAUAGUAGUAUGUGAUUUCGUUAAUUUUCAAAGCAAACUUUGUAUAACUGUAAAUUAGUCAACAAAAUGCUACUUAUUCAGAAUAUGCUCACGACCGAUAUGAUAGUUUAAGUGACAAUACGAAACGGUUUUUUUGCUGCUUUAAACCCGUUGAAUUUAGAUUCUGAUAGACAGUUUUCAAAAGCAUUGAUUUUGAGUUUUGUGUUGAGCACUUACAAUUACACGCUUUGUUUAAGUAUUUUGCGUGCUUACACAAAUCGUAAUGCUUUUGAAAAUUACAUCAGAUUCUAGAUUCAACGGGGUAAAAAAAUUUCAGCUUUGGUAAAUUUACGUUGAUUUCAUCGGAAAUUUACAUGAUUUCAAGUUCCUUUUCGUUCGGCCCGUUUACGUUGGAUGAC